UGUCCCCACGGUCAUUUACGGCAGGAAAAAAAGUGUGCGCAUGCGCCAUUAUUUGUUAUCAAAUUUUCUGCCGCAAGCGAUUCAUAAUGGCCACCAUCGCACGUGCUUCUAAUUUCCCUUAAAAACAAAUGUUUUUUGAGCCUCUGCGGUAGAGAUCAUCCCCUAAAAGGAUUUUAUUUUAGUAGAGCAGGCCUUGGACUAUACAAAAACUCUAGAUUCGACUACCCGAACACUUUAACUUUUGUUGGGAGGAGACAGAAAGAAUAGCAAUGUUUUGAUUAUAAAAUUUUAUAAGUUGGUGGAAAAUGAAGAUAUUUGCUUUCCAACGCAAAGUCAUGCUUUAAGACAUGUUUUUCCUGAAAGCUGAUAGCCUGUUUUAUCAAAUAAAACCAGUGGUUUGUGGCUGCCACUUUUUUUCUGAAAGAAAUUGGUCCUCGGAAAUGACCUUUCACAAGACUUCAUAAAUCGGGCACCAGUCCCAAAUUGUUCUAUGAUACAAAACAUGUUGGCACGAUUUCAUUGAAGUAAUUUUGACCCAAUAAUUCACAAUUUCAAGCGUCAUUCAAACUUGAUUUGCAUGUGAAGAUUUGUUGACAGAAGCGGUUAAAAAAAUGAUGGAACAAUGAUGAAACAGAAGAUCUUGCUGAUUUGCUCGAUUACCACUUUUUGUUGGAUGCGUUUGAAAUAAGAAUAUAUUCGUGAAAUCCAGAUUAUGAAUUGAAAUAAAAAAUACUUGUAAUAGCCUAAUUUGUAAAGUAUUUUUAUAUAAUUCAGAUUGACUUUCGUGGUGAAAAAUCUCACAAUUAGGGAAUGGUCUAGGCUAAAAUGUCUGUGUAAAUGGUUAGCUUUUUCGUUUAACAUAUAUAUAGCUAUAUAACUGUACAAUUUUUUUCAUUUGCAAUCAUUUGCUAGUCUAACAACAACAACAAUAAUGAUAAAUAUUUAAAGUGUUUCUAGCCCAGAAAAUCACAAAAACCUAUUGUUAGUGGAUUAUUUCCAUUGGGGUCCACUGAGUCUGAGUGAAGCUAGCUUUCUUACAUUUACGUUUAGUUUUAGCAGGCUUCUAGAUAGAGAAAACUAAUCAAGACCAACCUUAGAGCUAGCUAAGGUUACAGAUCAGAUGAAUUAUUUUUUUUGUCUUUUAAAAUUUAAUUUUAGUAGUAUAAUAUCGUUUGUUCUUUGUUUAUUAGCGUCUAUUUUACAUUUCUAAUAGUUGUCAACCAUUUUUUUUUUGUGAAAACGAAAGUGAAAUGUAUGGUGUAGAAAAGCUCAAAAUUUUAGUAGUAAAAAAAGUGGCAGCUACUACCUAAUACGAUAGAACGGUCGAUAAGGGAUACAUGCAAACAGGAAAAGUAAUUUUUAGGCAAAACCUUGCGUCAGAAUGUUGUACAAGAGUGCUCCUGUACUGGUAAAUUGUGAACUAGCCAUCCGGGCUUUUGUGGACCUUGCCGUCUGUUUAGGCUGCCCCGGGUAGCAACCAAAGGCGAAAUAGUAGUCUAUGGUCAUCCUUCUUUAGUUUUAAAAGAAAAAAAUGUUAAAUUUUCUUUUAUUGGGCAACUAAAACAAGAUAAUAGAGAGUGAGGUCAAUAUCGAUGACGUCAUAAUCUUAUGCCGUAGGCGCUUUUUAUAAAAAAAAUUUUUGGCGCAUGCGCACACUUUUUUUCCUUAAAAUCGCGGUUUUGAAUGACCGUGUCCCGUGUUAAUUAUGUAAAGAGAAUAAUUGUAAAUUUGGUACUAUUUUUAGUAAAUUUUCUGCACAUCUUGCACAUCUUGUUUCUGUGCAUUCAGUCUUCAACAUGUAAUGACAGAGUCGAACAAACAUUUUUGUAAUAAAUUCGCUGUUGAGUGAAAUUUUUCUUUCAUACAUCACAGGAGUUAUCCUGUAUCUCAGCAUCUGUUGUAUUUGUUUUCUCUCACUUGUAGUUGGCUUGGCUUACGCCACUAUAUUUCUAAACGGACAGCCAAUUACUGAUAUGAAAAAUCGUAAGAAUAAUAUCAAACGAAGAUCCAUACAAUGUGAAUUGAAGAAACUGGUUACAUUACAACGAACGAGUGAAUGAUUAGUUAAAAACAGUCUAAGAAAUGUAUGGAUGCUGAGUCGUUUACGACACAUGUAAAAAAGUGCGCCAAAUAUAAUUUUUUUAAAAAAAUCUGCCGAAUUUAUGUCGUUGAUAGCAAGCAUAAA
This is a long non-coding RNA of Hydractinia symbiolongicarpus, 2185 nucleotides long. RefSeq lists it as uncharacterized. Lineage: Eukaryota; Metazoa; Cnidaria; Hydrozoa; Anthoathecata; Hydractiniidae. The record is from RefSeq and is a predicted model, not a curated record. The transcript has 4 exons.